CCUACGGGGAGCAGCAGUGAGGAAUAUUGGUCAAUGGGCGCUAGCCUGAACCAGCCAAGUAGCGUGAAGGAUGACUGCCCUAUGGGUUGUAAACUUCUUUUAUAUGGGAAUAAAGUGCAGUAUGUAAACUGCUUAGCAUGUACCUUAUGAAUAAGGAUAGGCUAACAACGUGCAAGAAGCCGCGGUAAUACGGAGGAGCCGAGCGUUAUCCGGAUUUAUUGGGUGUAAAGGGAGCGUAGGCGGGUUGUUAAGUCCGUUGUGAAAGUUGGCGGCUCAACCGUAAAAUUGCAGUUGAUACUGGCGUCCUUGAGUACAGUAGAGGUAGGCGGAAUUCGUGGUGUAGCGUUGAAAUGCUUAGAUAUCACGAAGAACUCCGAUUGCGAAGGCAGCCUGCUGGACUGUAACUGCCGCUGAUGCUCGAAAGUGUGGGUAUCAAACAGGAUUAGAUACCCGGGUAGUC
This 460-nucleotide ribosomal RNA is filed under the name uncultured bacterium. RNAcentral's name for it is "partial 16S ribosomal RNA". It matches the Rfam family "Bacterial small subunit ribosomal RNA", at positions 338 to 795 of the family's 1533-position model. The record is from RNAcentral.